CAAAGCCGAAUGGAAAAAGAACUCUGGCAACAACGAAAGAAAGAGUUUGUUAUCGUUUCUCUUCCUCUCUUUUGACACAUUAAAGUUAUUUUUUCUUUUUUUUUCAGGCCUCCAUCCAUCCAUCCAUCA
Molecule: non-coding RNA, 129 nt
Filed under: Chromera velia
Lineage: Eukaryota; Chromeraceae
Source: RNAcentral